RNAcentral lists this ribosomal RNA (537 nucleotides) under Photobacterium aquimaris. RNAcentral describes it as "bacterial LSU rRNA". It matches the Rfam family "Bacterial large subunit ribosomal RNA", at positions 1 to 581 of the family's 2925-position model. Lineage: Bacteria; Pseudomonadati; Pseudomonadota; Gammaproteobacteria; Vibrionales; Vibrionaceae. The record is from RNAcentral.
GUUGUAUGGUUAAGUGACUAAGCGUACACGGUGGAUGCCUUGGCAGUCAGAGGCGAUGAAGGACGUAUUAACUUGCGAUAAGCCCAGAUUAGGCAGUAAAAGCCACUUGAGUCUGGGAUUUCCGAAUGGGGAAACCCACUAGCAUAAGCUAGUAUCAUUAACUGAAUACAUAGGUUAAUGAAGCGAACCGGGGGAACUGAAACAUCUAAGUACCCCGAGGAAGAGAAAUCAACCGAGAUUCCGGUAGUAGCGGCGAGCGAAACCGGAUUAGCCCUUAAGUUAGUUCAGCGUUAGGUGAAGGUUCUGGAAAGUACCGCGAUACAGGGUGAUAGCCCCGUAACCAACAACGCUUUAUUAGUGAAAUCGAGUAGGACGGGACACGUGAUAUCCUGUUUGAACAUGGGGGGACCAUCCUCCAAGGCUAAAUACUCCUGACUGACCGAUAGUGAACCAGUACCGUGAGGGAAAGGCGAAAAGAACCCCUGUGAGGGGAGUGAAAUAGAACCUGAAACCGUGUACGUACAAGCAGUAGGAGCC